UGGGAACUGCCACUUACCACAGGGGUGGCCAAAAGUAAAACAAGAAAUAAAUUUCAUCUCGGUAGAGGAAGGGGGCACGUCUUGAUAAGUGGCUCCAUUCUUUGCGCACAUGAAUGAUACAGCAGGGUUCCUUGGAUCCUGGAAUGGAGCCAUGAAUAAGGUCGCCCUAAGAUUCAUAGGACACCCCAGGGGUGCGGAAGACCCAUGUGAAGCUCAUAAGUAUCGUCAGCUGCUUUGGGGACCUUCUCGGAUUCUCACAUACCACGUGGGCGUUCAUUCAAAACGUCCUGUGAGCGCAGGGCCAGCGGCAGAACGAGACAUGAGGCUUUCUCUCUUCAAACACAUUAUAAGAGGCCUUUUUCUGGUUUUGUGCAUCAAAGACAAGCAUGCUAUUCAUUUCUGCAAACCAAACCAAACUUUCCUCAGGAAAGCCGCUUUCAUUUGAUAGAGAACGAAAAAUAUCAAUUAACCGAUUAAUUAACCCAGCGAAACCAGGAGCCAGGGAGAUCAUCAAACUGCUUGUGAAAAGAUUACCUGACCACAGAAUAAGGGCACAAAUAAUUACUUCUGCCGGCACCUGGGUUUCCUCCUGUCCCUCUGAGAUAGUUGAGAAAAUUUAAAUAGCAAAGAAUCCUGAUUCUCUCCUGGCUCUUUCCUUCCACUUGUAGAAGAUUGUGUGUCUGUGUUUCCAGGGUUUUAUUUUGUUCCCGCCUUAGCUGGGGAGGGGGAGCGUCUGUGUGGUGCACGCACUGAUCUGCUGCUUUAGAGCCUUUCCUGGCUUGCAGCUCCGUGAGAACAUCAUGAACACCACGGGGCUUUCUGCGGGUGUCAUCCGCAGAGAAUGCUGCCUAUGGCUUCCGAAGGUUUCUGGACCCGAGGAUUUUAUCUGGCAUCCUCUAGGGGCUUCACAUCGUCUGCAGUCAGAGCCCUAGUUUUCCCUUCUCGUGCGGUUGCCGCCAGAAGGACCCAGCCCCGAGCUGUGUGUUGGCAUCGGGCGGAGGGGUCUGCGUGGGGAGGGUGUGCAGGUGCCCUUCCCGCUCUGGUCCCAGCAGCCUAACGGAGUCGCCCCAGAGCACAUCUCACAGGCCUUUGACAAAGGCUCUGCUGGCUUCAUUCUCUGCCUGUGAAGUCAAGCCAGAGACAAAUGGAUUUCUCCCCUCUUGCUGAUCCUACAUGGGAGCUCCAGAAAAUCGGGUGUUUCUACCACGUGGGCAAGGAAUGCCUUUCCCAAAGAUGGAUCCAGACAGCUUUAUUUCAUGGGGGGGAAAAGAAAAGGUCUGUCUCUAAAUGCCAUCCUCCUCGGUGGCUUUUACCUGGCGAAAGAAAAAUCAGACUCCUGCCUGAAAGAGGGCUUUGUCUGAAAGAAGGCCGGGAGGGUCGGUGUGCACGUGAGGGCGGCUGGGGCCGGGAGUCCAGCGGGCGGCGCUUGGGCCCCGAAGUCUAACACCGGGACGUGGAGGAACGUGAUCUUGGAUUGUUGAGAGCCCUGGGGGAGGUGCUGAGACUCAGACAAGGCUCACGCACCCGGCGGGUUCGUGGAUGGGAUUUCCGCCGGGGCUCAGUUUCUCCUUGUGUAAAUGGGGACAGUAACCUGAUGUGCUUUGCAGGGUAAAGGCGAAAAUACCCCUGCGGGUUGGGAUGCUGCUGCUUGUCAGUUUCUCUACCUUUGACAACGCUGAGCUGCAGAAAGCGUUCGGGCAGCAAAGGAGGAAGACCCAGAGAAAGGUGUGGGUUUCUGCCCGAAUUAGCAGAGGGAUGGAUGGAUGUUUCUUUCCCAUGAGCUGUUUAUUUCCUAGGAAAUCUACAGAUGGUUUGGAAGGUGGUGUCUGGGAAGGGUGGAAGAAAAGGCAGCCCUGGAAAGAGCAUGGCACAGGGCAGUGACGCGGCCACUACCUGUGAGGCUGAGAGACUGCGGCUUUUCUGGGGCUUCCGGGCAGAAAGAGCGUGGUCUGAGAAAGAACCAGGGCGAGAGUUCCCGUGGUGGCGCGCAGUGGUUAACGAAUCCGACUAGGAACCAUGAGGUUGCGGGUUCGAUCCCUGCCCUUGCUCAGUGGGUUAACGAUCUGGCGUUGCGGUGAGCUGUAGUGUAGGUUGCAGACGCGGCUAGGAUCUCGUGUUGCUGUGGCUCUGGCGUAGGCCGGCGGCUACAGCUCCGAUUGGACCCCUAGCCUGAGAACCUCCAUGUGCUGCAGGAGCGGCCCUAGAAAAGGCAAAAAGACAAAAAGAAAAGAAAAAAA
Molecule: long non-coding RNA, 2237 nt
Filed under: Sus scrofa (pig)
Lineage: Eukaryota; Metazoa; Chordata; Mammalia; Artiodactyla; Suidae
Description: lncRNA (ENSSSCG00015030236.1)
Source: RNAcentral